AUUGAACGCUGGCGGCAGGCCUAACACAUGCAAGUCGAGCGGAUGAAGGGAGCUUGCUCCUGGAUUCAGCGGCGGACGGGUGAGUAAUGCCUAGGAAUCUGCCUGGUAGUGGGGGAUAACGUCCGGAAACGGGCGCUAAUACCGCAUACGUCCUGAGGGAGAAAGUGGGGGAUCUUCGGACCUCACGCUAUCAGAUGAGCCUAGGUCGGAUUAGCUAGUUGGUGGGGUAAAGGCCUACCAAGGCGACGAUCCGUAACUGGUCUGAGAGGAUGAUCAGUCACACUGGAACUGAGACACGGUCCAGACUCCUACGGGAGGCAGCAGUGGGGAAUAUUGGACAAUGGGCGAAAGCCUGAUCCAGCCAUGCCGCGUGUGUGAAGAAGGUCUUCGGAUUGUAAAGCACUUUAAGUUGGGAGGAAGGGCAGUAAGUUAAUACCUUGCUGUUUGGACGUGACCAACAGAAUAAACACCGGCUAACUUCGU
RNAcentral lists this ribosomal RNA (483 nucleotides) under uncultured bacterium. RNAcentral describes it as "partial 16S ribosomal RNA". It matches the Rfam family "Bacterial small subunit ribosomal RNA", at positions 30 to 506 of the family's 1533-position model. The record is from RNAcentral.